This is a small nucleolar RNA of Suncus etruscus (white-toothed pygmy shrew), 210 nucleotides long. RefSeq annotates it as small nucleolar RNA U3. The transcript has a single exon. NCBI's taxonomy places the organism in Eukaryota, Metazoa, Chordata, Mammalia, Eulipotyphla, Soricidae. The record is from RefSeq and is a predicted model, not a curated record.
AAGACUAUACUUUUCAGGGAUCAUUUCUAUAUGUUAUUAGAGAAGUUUCUCUGAGUGUGUAGAGCACCUGAAACCACAAGGAGGAGCUAGAGCAUACUCUCCUGAGCGUGAAGCAGGCGCUAGGUGUUGCUUCUGUAACUGCCUUUUGCCAUUGAUCAUUGUUCUUCCUUUCCUUCAGGAAGGGGUAGAGGGAGAGGAUGCAGUAUGAGU